UGCUCUUUGAAAAUAAAGAUAUAAUAUGAAAUAUAAAGAGUACUGCCUGCCCGGUGACAUUGUUUAACGGCUGCGGUAUUUUGACCGUGCAAAGGUAGCAUAAUCAUUUGCCUUUUAAAAGGAGGCUGGUAUGAAUGGCAAGACGGGAUUAGACUGUCUCUUUUUUAUAACUUAAAAUUAAUAUUCUUGUGAAGAAGCAGGGAUAAGAUCGUAGGACGAGAAGACCCUAUUGAGCUUAAAUAGAGAUUAUAAAAUUUUGAGAAAUAGUUUUGCUAAUGAAUUUAUAUAAUAAGAUAAUAAAGUUACAUUAAAAUGAAAGAAUAAUAAUAAUAAUAUUUUGAUUGGGGCAAUCAUGGAGAAUAUACAACCUUCAUUUAAGUAAAUUAAAAUUAAUAAUUUGGUUGUUUUAAGUGUUAAGUGAUCCACUUAAUUGAGUGAUCAGAGGAAAAAGUUACCAUAGGGAUAACAGCGUAAUUUUUUUGGAGAGUCCAUAUUGAUAAAGAAGUUUGCGACCUCGAUGUUGGAUCGGGAUAUCCUAAAAAUGCAGAAGUUUUAAAGGGUUGGUCUGUUCGACCAUUAAAAUCCU
Molecule: ribosomal RNA, 586 nt
Filed under: Asthenactis fisheri
Lineage: Eukaryota; Metazoa; Echinodermata; Asteroidea; Spinulosida; Pythonasteridae
Description: partial 16S ribosomal RNA
Rfam family: Bacterial large subunit ribosomal RNA
Source: RNAcentral